UACGGCCUGGCCGCAGGAGCCCCAAGAAUUUAUGAAUGCCUUCCGGUCGUAAACCUCUUUCACCUGUGAUGAAAAUGACAGUAGCCUGUAAAAAAACCCCGGCUAACUCCGUGCCACCAGCCGCGGUAAUACAGAGGGGGUUAGCGUUGUUCGGAAUUACUGGGGGUAAAGCGCACGUACGCGGAUUGCUUAGUUGGGGGUGAAAUCCCGGGGCUCAACCCCGGAACUGCCUCCAAAACUAUGAUUCUAUAGUUCGAGAGAGGUGAGUGGAAUUCCCAGUGUGUAGGUGAAAUUCGUAUAUAUUUGGAGGAACGCCAGUGGCGAAGGCGGCUCACUGGCUCGAUACUGACGCUGACGUGCGAAAGUGUGGGGAGCACACAGGAUUAUAUACCCUGGUAGUCCACACCGUAAACAAUGAAUGCCAUACGUCUGGGAGUAUACUGUUCCGUGACACACCUAACGGAUUAAGCAUUCCGCCUGGGGAGUACGGUCGCAAGAUUAAAACUCAAAGGAAUUGACUGACGGU
RNAcentral lists this ribosomal RNA (526 nucleotides) under uncultured marine bacterium. Its description in RNAcentral is "bacterial SSU rRNA". It matches the Rfam family "Bacterial small subunit ribosomal RNA", at positions 377 to 921 of the family's 1533-position model. The record is from RNAcentral.